CAGUAGCCGCGGUAAUACGGAGGGUGCAAGCGUUAAUCGGAAUUACUGGGCGUAAAGUGCACGCAGGCGGUUUGUUAAGUCAGAUGUGAAAUCCCCGAGCUUAACUUGGGAACUGCAUUUGAAACUGGCAAGCUAGAGUCUUGUAGAGGGGGGUAGAAUUCCAGGUGUAGCGGUGAAAUGCGUAGGGAUCUGGAGGAAUACCGGUGGCGAAGGCGGCCCCCUGGACAAGGACUGACGCUCAGGUGCGAAAGCGUGGGGAGCAAACAGGAUUAGAUACCCGUGUAGUCCCUGUCUCUUAUAC
RNAcentral lists this ribosomal RNA (301 nucleotides) under uncultured bacterium. RNAcentral's name for it is "partial 16S ribosomal RNA". It matches the Rfam family "Bacterial small subunit ribosomal RNA", at positions 509 to 807 of the family's 1533-position model. The record is from RNAcentral.